Molecule: long non-coding RNA, 1304 nt
Organism: Stomoxys calcitrans (stable fly)
Lineage: Eukaryota; Metazoa; Arthropoda; Insecta; Diptera; Muscidae
Exons: 2
Source: RefSeq, a predicted model, not a curated record
CAUUUCGCUCUACAAUUAAAGUGUUUUAAAUAAAAUUACCCCCCGUUUCAAUGUUCAAAGUGGGUGGUUGCCGGAGGUGAUUAACUGUAUGUACACUACCAGAGCUGACAUAUGGGACACUGGUAUGGGAAGGCAAAGAGGAUUUGCAACAGGGAGUUUCAGAAGGUGCAAAGUCUGGCCCACGUUGAAAUCAUGGGAGCGUAAGGUCCACACCACUGUCAGAUUUAGAAGCGGUGCUGGAUAAGCAGUCUUAGCAUACUGCAGCAGAUUGGAUGCGGCACGGUUCCAUUCUGAAUACAAUGGAUACGGUUGGUCAAUAGACUGAGGAGGGUGUCAGACUUCAUAAUAACGGGACCGAUUGGAUGUCAGAUCUUCUGGGAGGUGUAUGCUGUGUUUGAAGAGGAUGAAACCUGAAGUCUGUACCAUUACGGGAAAAAAAUUACCGACUUCGUAUCUUUCCAGAUAUGUGGGUAACAUGGCGCUUGUCCUAGACUCUCUUCUUUAUUUCUUCUUAUUUUUCUUUCUCAUUACCCAGUGAGAAAAGAAGAGUGGGUGUCUUUUCUCACUGGGGUAUCAAAGUUGUCCAAACUGGCCUGCGUGUGAAUUCAUCUGUGGGAUGCCAUAUAUAUUUCUGAACUGAUAAUGAAAAUGCAAGUAUUUAACAUCAAAAUUUUUGUUAUUGUUUUCAUGCUUUGGAAUUAAUUAUCUUUUGUUUUCCAAAUUUUUUAUUGUUAUUUCUGAGCUGGAAUAAAAACAGUUCUGAAGUGUACCACUUAUCAAGCGGAACAGUCGUUAUAUGACCAGUUUUUCCGAAAAAAACAGGCGACCAUUUGCUUCAAAGUGCUUCUUCCACGAACAACUUUGUUUGGAAGACCCAUACUGAUUUUAAAGCACAGCGAUCGUAUUUUUUCAUAAUUUCUUUGCAACAGCUUUUUUUAUGAGCGAUUGUCAAAUUGUGUGGGAUCCAACGAGAAAAACCUGGCCAGGUUUUAAAUCAAUGUCAAGUGUAUGCCCGUGCCCAAGGAUAUGACUGACAGUGUGUCUAAUGGACAUUAAUUUAUUAUUUUAUUCAAUUGCAUGCCUUAUCUUCGAAAAAAUGGCACGUAUUAUUUUAGCUUCUUCGUAUCGUUUUAAUAACAUGAAUCAUAAGUAGUAAAAUUUUAAAUUUACCUCAAUAUUUCUAUAAAUUUUAUUUGCAGCAUGCAAUCAAAAUUGUUGAAUUGUUAAAUACAACUAUCUUAGUAAGCUACUUAUACAAAUUUCUAUAUGAGUAACUUAUAAAAUAUUUUAAAUUUUUAAAUGAA